UGGGGGAUAUUGCACAAUGGGCGAAAGCCUGAUGCAGCGACGCCGCGUGGGGGAUGAAGGCUUUCGGGUUGUAAACCUCUUUCGCUAUCGAACAAGGCCCGCUUGGGGUGGGUUGAGGGUAGGUGGAGAAGAAGCGCCGGCUAACUACGUGCCAGCAGCCGCGGUAAUACGUAGGGCGCGAGCGUUGUCCGGAAUUAUUGGGCGUAAAGGGCUUGUAGGCGGCUUGUUGCGCCUGCUGUGAAAACACGGGGCUUAACUUCGCGCGUGCAGUGGGUACGGGCAGGCUUGAGUGUGGUAGGGGGGACUGGAAUUCCAGGGGUAGCGGUGGAAUGCGCAGAUAUCUGGAGGAACACCGAUGGCGAAGGCAGGUCACUGGGCCAUUACUGACGCUGAGGAGCGAAAGCAUGGGUAGCGAACAGG
Molecule: ribosomal RNA, 420 nt
Filed under: bacterium
Lineage: Bacteria
Description: partial 16S ribosomal RNA
Rfam family: Bacterial small subunit ribosomal RNA
Source: RNAcentral